CGUACGACGAGUUUGAUCCCUGGCUCAAGAACGAACGCUGGCGGCAUGCCUAACACAUGCAAGUCGAACGAGACCUUCGGGUCUAGUGGCGCACGGGUGCGUAACACGUGGGAAUUUGCCUCGGGGUAUGGAAUAACUCAGGGAAACUUGAGCUAAUACCAUAUAAUGUCUUCGGACCAAAGAUUUAUCGCCCUGAGAUAAGCCCGCGUAGGAUUAGCUAGUUGGUGAGGUAAAGGCUCACCAAGGCGACGAUCCUUAGCUGGUCUGAGAGGAUGAUCAGCCACACUGGGACUGAGACACGGCCCAGACUCCUACGGGAGGCAGCAGUGGGGAAUAUUGGACAAUGGGCGAAAGCCUGAUCCAGCAAUGCCGCGUGAGUGAUGAAGGCCUUCGGGUUGUAAAGCUCUUUUACUCGGGACGAUAAUGACGGUACCGAGAGAAUAAGCCCCGGCUAACUCCGUG
This 462-nucleotide ribosomal RNA is filed under the name uncultured bacterium. RNAcentral describes it as "bacterial SSU rRNA". It matches the Rfam family "Bacterial small subunit ribosomal RNA", at positions 1 to 507 of the family's 1533-position model. The record is from RNAcentral.